GGGCCCGCACAAGCGGUGGAACAUGUGGUUUAAUUCGACGCAACGCGAAGAACCUUACCUGGGUUUGACAUCCCCGGCCGACACCAGAGAUGGUGUUUUCUCUUCGGAGACCGGGUGACAGGUGCUGCAUGGCUGUCGUCAGCUCGUGUCGUGAGAUGUUGGGUUAAGUCCCGCAACGAGCGCAACCCUUGCCCUCAGUUGCCAGCAGUUCGGCUGGGCACUCUGGGGGGACUGCCGGUGACAAGCCGGAGGAAGGUGGGGAUGACGUCAAGUCCUCAUGGCCUUUAUAUCCAGGGCUACACACGUGUUACAAUGGGGGUCACAAAGGGCAGCGAAACGGUGACGUGGAGCGAAUCCCAAAAAAGCCCUCUCAGUUCGGAUCGCAGUCUGCAACUCGACUGCGUGAAGCUGGAAUCGCUAGUAAUCG
This 427-nucleotide ribosomal RNA is filed under the name uncultured bacterium. RNAcentral describes it as "bacterial SSU rRNA". It matches the Rfam family "Bacterial small subunit ribosomal RNA", at positions 917 to 1344 of the family's 1533-position model. The record is from RNAcentral.